RNAcentral lists this long non-coding RNA (214 nucleotides) under Hordeum vulgare. RNAcentral's name for it is "long non-coding RNA (HVUL_LNC016345)". The record is from RNAcentral. Lineage: Eukaryota; Viridiplantae; Streptophyta; Magnoliopsida; Poales; Poaceae.
GGAAACACGGAAUCGGAAAGACGUAAACGGAAAUACGGAACCGGAAACACGUAAACGAAAACCCUGAAAAUACGGAACACGGAAACACCGAAAUACGGAAUCGGAAACCCUGAAAAGAAAAGAAAAAAAAAGCAUUAGGACCGGUUGGUGUUACCAACCGGUUCUAAAGGUCCUCCGCCUACGCGCACUCAUCGGCGCCCAUGUGGAGGCCUUU